AAUCCUGUUUGCUCCCCACGCUUUCGUGCAUGAGCGUCAGUCUUGACCCAGGGGGCUGCCUUCGCCAUCGGUGUUCCUCCACAUCUCUACGCAUUUCACUGCUACACGUGGAAUUCUACCCCCCUCUGCCAGACUCCAGCCUUGCAGUCUCCAACGCAAUUCCCAGGUUGAGCCCGGGGAUUUCACGUCAGACUUACAAAACCGCCUGCGCACGCUUUACGCCCAGUAAUUCCGAUUAACGCUUGCACCCUACGUAUUACCGCGGCUGCUGGCACGUAGUUAGCCGGUGCUUAUUCUUCAGGUACCGUCAUUAGCCAAGGGUAUUAACCCCGGCCGUUUCUUCCCUGACAAAAGAGCUUUACAACCCGAAGGCCUUCUUCACUCACGCGGCAUUGCUGGAUCAGGCUUGCGCCCAUUGUCCAAAAUUCCCCACUGCUGCCUCCCGUAGGAGUCUGGGCCGUGUCUCAGUCCCAGUGUGGCUGGUCGUCCUCUCAGACCAGCUACUGAUCGUCGCCUUGGUGAGCCUUUACCUCACCAACUAGCUAAUCAGACAUCGGCCGCUCCAAAAGCAUGAGGCCUUGCGGUCCCCCACUUUCUUCCGUAGAACGUAUGCGGUAUUAGCGUAACUUUCGCUACGUUAUCCCCCACUUCUGGGUACGUUCCGAUGUAUUACUCACCCGUUCGCCACUCGCCGCCAGGUUGCCCCGCGCUGCCGUUCGACUUGCAUGUGUAAAGCAUGCCGCCAGCGUUCAAUCUGAGCCAGGAUCAAACUC
RNAcentral lists this ribosomal RNA (773 nucleotides) under uncultured bacterium. RNAcentral's name for it is "partial 16S ribosomal RNA". The record is from RNAcentral.